AUUGAACGCUGGCGGCAGGCCUAACACAUGCAAGUCGAGCGGAUGAAGCGUGCUUGUUCCUGGAUUCAGCGGCGGACGGGUGAGUAAUACCUAGGAAUCUGCCUCGUAGUGGGGGAUAACGUCUGGAAACGGGCGCUAAUACCGCAUACGUCCUGAGGGUGAAAGUGGGGGAUCUUUGGACCUCACGCUAUCAGAUGAGCCUAGGUCGGAUUAGCUAGUUGGUGGGGUAAGGGCCUACCAAGGCGACGAUCCGUAACUGGUCUGAGAGGAUGAUCAGUCACACUGGAACUGAGACACGGUCCAGACUCCUACGAGAGGAAGCAGUGGGGAAUGUUGGACAAUGGGCGAAAGACUGAUCCAGCCAUGCCGCGUGUGUGAAGAAGGUCUUCGGAUUGUAAAGCACUUUAAGUUGGGAGGAAGGGCAGUAAGUUAAUACCUUGCUGUUUUGACGUUACCAACAGAAUAAGCACCGGCUAACUUCGUG
Molecule: ribosomal RNA, 484 nt
Filed under: uncultured bacterium
Lineage: Bacteria
Description: partial 16S ribosomal RNA
Rfam family: Bacterial small subunit ribosomal RNA
Source: RNAcentral